CGGGGUGUAGCGCAGUUCGGUAGCGCACCGCGUUUGGGACGCGGGGGUCGGCGGUUCGAGUCCGCCCGCCCCGACCA
Molecule: transfer RNA, 77 nt
Filed under: Chloroflexota bacterium
Lineage: Bacteria; Bacillati; Chloroflexota
Also listed under: 1 other name
Description: Chloroflexi bacterium (sediment metagenome) tRNA-Pro
Rfam family: tRNA
About the family: Transfer RNA (tRNA) molecules are approximately 80 nucleotides in length. Their secondary structure includes four short double-helical elements and three loops (D, anti-codon, and T loops).
Source: RNAcentral